CCUACGGGUGGCAGCAGUGAGGAAUAUUGGUCAAUGGACGAGAGUCUGAACCAGCCAAGUAGCGUGAAGGAUGACUGCCCUAUGGGUUGUAAACUUCUUUUAUAUGGGAAUAAAACGUUCCACGUGUGGGAUUUUGUAUGUACCAUAUGACUAAGGAUCGGCUAACUCCGUGCCAGCAGCCGCGGUAAUACGGAGGAUCCGAGCGUUAUCCGGAUUUAUUGGGUGUAAAGGGAGCGUAGGUGGAUUGUUAAGUCAGUUGUGAAAGUUUGCGGCUCAACCGUAAAAUUGCAGUUGAAACUGGCAGUCUUGAGUACAGUAGAGGUGGGCGGAAUGCGUGGUGUAGCGGUGAAAUGCUUAGAUAUCACGAAGAACUCCGAUUGCGAAGGCAGUUCACUGGACUGCAACUGACACUGAGGCUCGAAAGUGUGGGUAUCAAACAGGAUUAGAUACCCGGGUAGUC
This 460-nucleotide ribosomal RNA is filed under the name uncultured bacterium. RNAcentral describes it as "partial 16S ribosomal RNA". It matches the Rfam family "Bacterial small subunit ribosomal RNA", at positions 338 to 795 of the family's 1533-position model. The record is from RNAcentral.